AGCUCCAAUAGCGUAUACUAAAGUUGUUGCGAUUAAAAAGCUCGUAGUUGGAUCUCAGGCAUGGGCGCACGGUCCGCCUCGCGGCGGUCACUGUGUGUAUGUUUCCCAUCCUACGCUUCCCGGUUAUCAGCCCAUGGUGCUCUUGAUUGAGCGUUUUGGGUGGCCGGAACGUUUACUUUGAAGAAAUUAGAGUGUUCAAAGCAGGCUUGUGGGCCUGAAUAAUGGUGCAUGGAAUAAUGGAAUAGGACCUCGGUUCUAUUUUGCUGGUUUUCGGAACACGAGGUAAUGAUUAAGAGGGACAGACGGGGGCAUCCGUAUUGCGGUGUUAGAGGUGAAAUUCUUGGAUCAUCGCAAGACGAACUACUGCGAAAGCAUUUGCCAAGAAUGUUUUCA
Molecule: ribosomal RNA, 393 nt
Filed under: marine Metazoa environmental sample
Lineage: Eukaryota; Metazoa
Description: SSU rRNA
Rfam family: Eukaryotic small subunit ribosomal RNA
Source: RNAcentral